RNAcentral lists this ribosomal RNA (484 nucleotides) under uncultured bacterium. RNAcentral describes it as "partial 16S ribosomal RNA". It matches the Rfam family "Bacterial small subunit ribosomal RNA", at positions 30 to 507 of the family's 1533-position model. The record is from RNAcentral.
AUUGAACGCUGGCGGCAUGCCUUACACAUGCAAGUCGAACGGCAGCGCGGGAGCAAUCCUGGCGGCGAGUGGCGAACGGGUGAGUAAUACAUCGGAACGUGCCCAAUCGUGGGGGAUAACGCAGCGAAAGCUGUGCUAAUACCGCAUACGAUCUACGGAUGAAAGCAGGGGAUCGCAAGACCUUGCGCGAAUGGAGCGGCCGAUGGCAGAUUAGGUAGUUGGUGAGGUAAAGGCUCACCAAGCCUUCGAUCUGUAGCUGGUCUAAGAGGACGACCAGCCACACUGGGACUGAGACACGGCCCAGACUCCUACGGGAGGCAGCAGUGGGGAAUUAUGGACAAUGGGCGAAAGCCUGAUCCAGCCAUGCCGCGUGCAGGAUGAAGGCCUUCGGGUUGUAAACUGCUUUUGUACGGAACGAAACGGUCUUUUCUAAUAAAGAAGGCUAAUGACGGUACCGUAAGAAUAAGCACCGGCUAACUACGUG